This 271-nucleotide long non-coding RNA is filed under the name Brassica napus (rape). Its description in RNAcentral is "long non-coding RNA (BNAP_LNC016264)". The record is from RNAcentral. Lineage: Eukaryota; Viridiplantae; Streptophyta; Magnoliopsida; Brassicales; Brassicaceae.
UUAUGAAAUGAUUGGGUUUUUUUCCACAAGCUGAAGUAACCCUCUCCCAUGAAGUCCAUGACACUUUUCCAUAAAAAAGGAGAUUUUUCUUCGUAAAUUGUUAUCUGGUGUUACUGCCGGACGCAUUCGGUUUCACGGAAAGAAAUGGCUGUGUCAGACUGUCGUGUUAGAUGAUAAAUAGAAAGAACGCACGCAUAUGUAACCAUCCACGUUAUAACUUUUGAUUUAAUGGAUUUUACAAAACAGUAUGGUCUUGGUCUCUUGGAUGACC